Molecule: long non-coding RNA, 4392 nt
Organism: Amphiprion ocellaris (clown anemonefish)
Lineage: Eukaryota; Metazoa; Chordata; Actinopteri; Pomacentridae
Source: Ensembl
CACAUCAUCCCAACAAAAGGAUGCCUUCAGUGACCCGCUGGAGCCCUCUAGAGUUUAGAUCCAGUCUGACUCCAGAUGGAGGCCAGGAAAUGAAAGAGGAAGUCUGGUUGCAUGGAUGUUGGUCUCCAUGGAUACACCACAACAAAUCAGCACCGAGGCAGAGAUUUAGCAGAAGCGACGGAGGCGUAUUUUUAAACUGUUUAGAGUUCAGUUUCCGAGUUCUCUGAGGUUGUUAAUCCUGACUGAGCGGAGGCCAUGUACAGAGUUUCCUCGUCGGUUAAAGUGAAGCAGAUGGAGGCAGAGCUGUCGCAUCAACUCGCAGCUCUCAGGGCGGAAAUCGAGGAGAAUGGGUUUCCACGAGGAGCAGGGACGGCCAACUCUUACAGCUCUGUUCCACCUCCCAAAGAUGUUUCCUUCUUUCGUCUGGAGAGGGAACAUGCACUGAGGAGGGAGCUGCAGGUGGCUGAAGCUUCGCGGGUUCAGUCUGCGGCUGACGUCAUGCAGGAAGAGCUGCAGAGCUGCUGGAGUUUAGAAUACAGUCCUGAAAAUCUGCUGCUUCUGCUGCACCAGUUCUUCAUGGACAGAUCGUAUCACCUGGCUCAGAUCAAAUAUCAACUCAUGCUGAGAUGGAGGAGAUUCUGUCGCCACACCGGCGUCAUCGAGAAGCUUUAUCCUCAUUACAAGGUUUCCCAGAGACUAUGGGUUGAGGAGGAAGUGGAAGUUUGUCGGCUUAGACCUGGUGUCAUUCCAUCAGUGUUUAACUUCCCGGCUCAUCUUUGAAGAGUACGUGCCAGAAAGACCACGACCAAGCAGCCUUGAGAUCUUAGACAGCGUCUCCCUCAGGUCCCUCUCUAUUUCCCCACACAUCCACCAACCACUGGAACACAUCUCCAAAGUUCUGCCGGGCCAGCUCAGCUUCCCCUCAGAAGAAGUUCCACCACCUGCCAGAUGAAGGAGCCUUUUGAGAGGCAGCUGGCAUCGUGAUUGGACUGUACUUUGGUCUGUUCCAAUCCAGCUUCAGCUCCAGAGACGGCAGGCGGGACGAGUCAACGGAGGCCGGGUGGACGAAGGUGAAACCCAGACGAGAUCCAUGGCAGCAGAAGCUCCUCACACAGCUGAAGGAAAAGAAAUCAGCCGAUGAGCUGCUGAAGAUGCACAGCAGGUUUCUACAGGUCUCUGAUCUGCUUCAUGUAGCUGCAGCUUUAAAACAACAAGCAGCUCAUGUUGGAGACUCACAAUCAUCAUCACACAACAGCAGGACAAAACAUGAAAAGAUCUCUGAGAUCUGGACGAGCGUUUACAGUGCUGCCAGUCUUUCUCCCGCAGCGUAACAGACAAAAGCCGCGAUUCCACAAGCAUCUACUCGGCGCGGUACGGUUCGCCACUAUUGUAUCUGACUCGGCUCGUCUCGGUUUAGUUGUUUUUCCAUAUAGCCUCAUCGUGGGUGGAGUCUCAUAGCGCAGCGAGCCGAAAGUCCCUUAACGUCAUUUGCGUGCGACACAAACGCAACAUAACGGAGGCGAUGGUUCACCUGCUGCUCGGUCUGUGGCUUUCUGUCAGAUUCAAAGUAAUAGAAGAGUCGGAGAAAGCUGAGAGUGGCGAGUGGAAACACUGAGGAGACACACAGGAGAGUUUGGGAGGCGAUACAGCAGUAUCAAGCCGAAGACAAGAGGAUAUGAACGAGACGACAUAUGAGGAUGCUCUCUGAUGAGACUUCAUGGGAUUUACCUGAAGCAGCAGCACAUGAGCCUGCAGUGGCACAAGGUGUAGAGGAGGAGGACAGAGAUGUACAGGAUGCACUGAUGCACUACGUGUCAUGCAAAGUUAUUCUUCUCGUUAGACUUCUGUUUUUCUGUCCCCGGACCACUAUUGUGUUCUUUAAUGCAAUUCUGACAAACUUUUGUACGUUUUGCAGAUGUGUCUAUGCUAUUGUUUUAUUUGUGAAGGUUAGCAAGAUUACAUGACAAACACCAAAACAUUAAAACUGCUGUUUUAAGAAUAUUCCAGUUUGAUAAAUCAGUAUUGCUUUGGUGUAAUUCAGUCAACAGAAUUAUGAGCCAUAAAGUAGUUUGUGUUAAAACAUGUUAAAUCCCAUUAAACAUAAAUGCAUUAUUAGGGAAUACAGAAUCGUUUGGUUCAGACUGUUGACUCUUUUCCUACCAGUGUCUUAACAGACAAAAUGAAAAGUUAUGAUGCAAUCACAUAAGUCACAAAAUAGUUUAUUAGUCAGCAGCAAAAUCCAAACUAUUUACAAUGUGCAAAGUACAAACUGUGGUGGGCCUGUGCUACAGUGGAGGGCUAAAAGUAAAACUAUAUACAACUAAAUCUCAAGUCUCUGGGAAGUGGACUCUGGCUGCCCACUACCUGCACCAGCUGCCCCAGCACACCCAGGAAUGACUGGUUGAAGGCAGCAUUCUGGACCAUCUCCUCCCGCUGCAAGGCCGCUUCAUUCUCUCUUGCCUCGCUGAGGAGCAACCAGAUGUUCUCAUCAUGUUGGGCACAGUUCCGCUCCUUCUCAGCCUGCAUCUCCACAAGUAUGCUUGGAAGGUCCAAUUUUCUGUGGCCCCUUUUCCUCUUGCCUAGAACAAAGACAGAAAAGUGAUCACAAUCAGCUUUAGUAAGUACACAACAUGCAAGGAAUUUGGUUUCGGCUGUUGGUGUCACACUAGGAAUAUGGAAGAGAAUAAUAAAAAAUGAAUAAUAAUUUUUUCCACUUUUUCUGUUUUUCUACAGUAGAAGAGUCAACACACACACACACACACACAUUUCAGCCUGAGGGAACAGUCCACCUUCCAUCAAUUAAUCAUCAGCCCUUUCAUCUUUAAUUAAACUCACCGUCUUUAAAGCACACCCCUUCACGCAUGCCAUCGCUGUGGCUGCACACACACUCGCUCGUACGCAGAAACAAUGCAGUGCUCUGUGCUUCCUUAUGGCAAAUGUUCAGUGGGCGCAUGAGCGCAUGAACGCACACACGCACUUGUGUCUUGGGAUGUGGUCUCAGAGGAUGAGCUCCCUCCAGGGAUUCCCUCAGCCACUGGCCUUCCCAAAUUCUGGCUUAGGACCAGCUCCUCUGCCUCCGUUAGAGGUGGUGCUGCUGGGCCUCCUCCCUUUUCACAGGCAUCUCCUUUCUUUCUGUUGGCUGAGUAGAAGUCUGUGUUAGUUUAAAUAGGCUUAAUUGUUUAACGGAACAUGAUAUGGAUGCAGACAUUUAGGCUAUGUGUGGGAUAGAACCACUGCACAGUCAAACAGCCACUUAAUAUUUAGGCUACUUUACAAUGUAAAACAUGAUCAAAAUGAGGUAGCUCCAUGAGAUUAUGCCGACUUCUUACCUGUUUGAACAAUGUUUUUAUAUUUCAUCUUCAGCUCCUGCCACAUGCGCUUCUCCCCCGCAGGAUUGCACCUAAAUGAAAUAACAGAAUAGGCUGCUAUUAAACAGUUUUCCUAUAAUAUUAUUGUGAUUUAAACUUGCGCAAUGACCCGGGCAGCAAUGUUCUCCCACGCCGUCUCCCUCUUUUGCAGCUGCAGGUGCUGCACUUCUUUCUAAAAACGUGUUCGAAGUCGCCAUAUGAACGCAUUAAGAUGUCCACUUCAAGUGGUGUAAAAAACGUAGCUCUCCGCUCCCCCGUCACCACGGUGAGUCGUCGAAUCGGGGUUCCAUUGAUGCUGUCUUUUUAUAGUUGCGGUGCACUCUGGGUGAAACUACUCCGAGUUGAUUAAACCAACUCAAAUCAGCCGUUGUUAAACCGAAAACUCAGAGUUUUCUAUCUCAGAGUAGAUCAACUCAGAGUUCAGGGUUACACAGAGUUUGUUGAACCUGCUUCGUGGAACGGACCCAGGGUCAUUUAAGGGACGGUUUGGGCCCUGAGUUGGACAACGCAGGCACAGACACAGAGAGACUUGCAGAAUAAUGGAAUAAUGGAAAGAGUUUCAUUUAAAAAGAUAACUAAACUAAUACAUAAAUGGAGAGCUGAACUGUGGAAACAAAACUAAACCUAACUAUUCAAAACCCAGCAAACACUACGAAUACAGAAACGGAAGUCAACCAAUACUAAACUGGAUUAACAAAAGUAAACUAAAGAGGGAUACUCACAAGAGGAGAAAAAGGGUCGAGGAAAAAGGAGUCCAGAAGUGGGGAAGCAGAGUCCAUGAGGGAGCAGAGCGUGUGAAGCCAUGUGAGUCUUUGUGGGAAUCUGAGCCUGGAGGGAAGCAGGCGUCCAGUAGUUGAUGGUCAAACAGGCAAAGAGUCACUAAGCAGAGUUUAAAUAGUGAGCAGGUGAUAUUGAGGGCAGGUGAGCUGAUUACUGCAAUGUGAGUCACCUGCAGUAAUCAGCUGAGUGCAGACAGGUGAAGCAGGGAGAGCAAGAGACAGGGACGAGGAAAGAUGACAGACAG